GCGCAGCAGUCGCGAAUCUUCGGCAAUGGACGCAAGUCUGACCGAGCGACGCCGCGUGCGGGAUGAAGGCCCUUGGGUUGUAAACCGCUGUCAGAGGGGAUGAAAUGCGAGAGGGCUAUCCCUCUCGUUUGACAGAGCCUCAGAGGAAGCACGGGCUAAGUACGUGCCAGCAGCCGCGGUAACACGUACUGUGCGAACGUUAUUCGGAAUCACUGGGCUUAAAGGGUGCGUAGGCGGUUUAGUAAGUAGGGUGUGAAAUGCCAGAGCUCAACUUUGGCACGGCGCUCUAAACUGCUAAACUUGAGUGAGAUAGGGGUGUACGGAACUUCCGGUGGAGCGGUGAAAGUGCGUUGAUAGU
Molecule: ribosomal RNA, 358 nt
Filed under: uncultured microorganism
Description: bacterial SSU rRNA
Rfam family: Bacterial small subunit ribosomal RNA
Source: RNAcentral